Molecule: RNA transcript, 1860 nt
Organism: Hevea brasiliensis (rubber tree)
Lineage: Eukaryota; Viridiplantae; Streptophyta; Magnoliopsida; Malpighiales; Euphorbiaceae
Gene name: thiamine-repressible mitochondrial transport protein THI74
Exons: 8
Source: RefSeq, a predicted model, not a curated record
CAAUACAAACGAAAGAUUAAAUAUAAUUAUUAAAAAAAUAUUCACCAGUCGCCGAAGUGUACGCGAGGUGGUUCCGAUUGUGACACGUCAACAAGGAAUUGAUUGCGGUAACGGAUCUCAACGGCUGCCACGUCAUCCGAGAGCUGGAAAAGGGUAUCGCCAAAACUCCACCAUUUGUCGCGUUAAUAUAACCUGCUGCUGACGACAAAAAAACAUCUGAGAAGCGCUAGUUAAAUGCAAGAUUGUUGCUGCUUUUCUUUUCAACCUUCAACAAACAAGAACCAUGUACAUGUCAUGGAUCUCCUUUUCUUUCUAGUGCCCUGAUCAUCUCGAAAGUUGAAGAUUUUUUUGGCAAAUUCAAGAUUACCCAGUUCACAUUUGGGGUCAUUUUUCAUUAUACUGAGAAUUCUCUGGUUUUGUUGGCAUUUUAGGCAAUGGGGUGGAAAUAUAAAGCUGGGUUGGGAUUGAUUGGCUCAGUUGUGUUUAUAUGGGUUGCUUCUGCCGAGGUCACUCAGAAUAUCUAUGAAAAGUACAGACAGCCAUUUGCACUCACAUAUCUUGGAGCGUCUCUUAUGGUGGUCUUUCUACCCAUAGCGUUUAUGAAAGACUGGUUCUGUAGUUUAUUCCACACUUACUUGUUAAAGGACAUCUACAAUGGCAGUUCUAUUACUAGCUCUUCUACUGGACUUGAUAUUCCGCUUACAAUCAAUGAUAUGUACCAAGAGCCAGAGACUGAAGCCAGUUGCUGCCUAGUAACUGACAAGGACCCUCUCAGUGAAAGGGAGGAGGGGUGGCCUGUGAUCGUGAAAAAAGGGGAAGAAGAACCUUCUUUGCUUCAACGGAAUUGCAAACUUAGUUCAGUGGAAGUUGCCAAGUGCAGUUUAUGUCUUGCUCCAAUCUGGUUUGUAACAGAGUAUCUAUCAAACUCAGCUUUAGCAAAUGCAAGUGUUGCAAGUACGACUGUCUUAACUUCUACUUCUGGCGCUUUUUACUGUUUUCUUUGGAGUUUUGCCUGGCCAGGACUCCAUAAAUGUUACCAAGUUGGUCGCUAUUUUUAUCAGCAUGGCUGGUGUAGCCAUGACCACGGUUGGAAAAACUUCAGCAACAGAUGAAAUGCUGAGCGUUUCUGAGGCAAGAAGGCAUUCAAUCAUGGGGGACAUAUUUGGCCUUUUCUCAGCAAUAUCAUCUGGCUUAUUUACAGUGUUGCUCAAGAGAUGUGCUGGAUCAGAAGGUGAGAAGGUUGAUAUGCAAAAGUUCUUGGGCUAUAUUGGUCUUUUCACCCUUCUUGGGCUUUGGUGGCUUUUGUUUCCACUGAAUGCUGUGGGGAUUGAACCAGCAUUCAGGUUCCCAGAUUCAACAUAUGUUGGCGAAGUUUUGCUGUUAAAUGGCUUUAUAGGGAGUGUUCUGUCAGAUUACUUGUGGGCACUUUCUGUGAUUUGGACGACUCCGCUGGUUGCGACAUUGGGCGUUUCCUUGACAAUACCCCUUGCAAUGGUAGCUGACAUGGUUAUACAUGGCCGUCACUACUCUGCAAUCUACGUCUCCGGAUGUAUUCAGGUUUUUGCAGGUUUCAUUAUAGCCAACAUUUCAGACAAAUUUUCACUCAAGAGGGAGUUAUAGCAGUCAUGAACUCUUCCAAGAAGCAUAAUCCUGUAAAUGGGGAGAGUGUACACCAAAUCUUGAAUGAUGAACCUGUUUUAGAAUGUUACAAUAAAUGGUUGUUUGCUUUUUAUGAGGUGGCCCUGCUAAGCUAGACUGUUAUGUAUUCACUUUGCUAAUGCAGUUUUUGAAUGUCAUCUGAAUUCCAUUCCUUCUGAAAAUGCAAUAAAUUGCAAUACCACUGGAUAAUGGUUCUGUUCC